Molecule: long non-coding RNA, 1017 nt
Filed under: Zea mays
Lineage: Eukaryota; Viridiplantae; Streptophyta; Magnoliopsida; Poales; Poaceae
Description: long non-coding RNA (ZMAY_LNC000648)
Source: RNAcentral
GUAACGCACCCACUGGGCCAGUCCGCCUAAAGCCCACCAUCGCCAGCGUCGGACGUUCAUGCGCUCGUGCGCAGCCUAUUCAGACGGGCACCUCGCUCUCAAAACCUAGGCUGAGAGAGGAGGGAGGCCCGCCCUUAUAAGUGCAACACGGCCCCCUUGGCUAGGCGAGGUGGUACUAACCCAGGGCGUGCAUACCGGUCCCUUACAUCCCACCCCCCUAAGAGGCCCAAAGCUCUCCCAGGCAGCAGCGGCAAUGUAGGCUCCGAUACCAAUUGUAACGCACCCACUGGGCCAGUCCGCCCAAAGCCCACCAUCGCCAGCGUCAUACGUUCAUGCGCUCGUGCGCAGCCUAUUCAGACGGGCACCUCGCUCUCAAAACCUAGGCUGAGAGAGGAGGGAGGCUCGCCCUUAUAAGUGCAACACGGCCCCCUUAGCUAGGCGAGGUGGUACUAACCCAGGGCGUGCAUACCGGUCCCUUACAUCCCACCCCCCUAAGAGGCCCAAAGCUCUCCCAGGCAGCAGCGGCAAUGUAGGCUCCGAUACCAAUUGUAACGCACCCACUGGGCCAGUCCGCCCAAAGCCCACCAUCGCCAGCGUCGGACGUUCAUGCGCUCGUGUGCAGCCUAUUUAGGCGGGCACCUCGCUCUCAAAACCUAGGCUGAGAGAGGAGGGAGGCCCGCCCUUAUAAGUGCAACACGGCCCCCUUGGCUAGGCGAGGUGGUACUAACCCAGGGCGUGCAUAUCGGUCUCUCACAUCCCACCCCCCUAAGAGGCCCAAAGCUCUCCCAGGCAGCAGCGGCAGUGUGGGCUCCGAUACCAAUUGUAACGCACCCACUGGGCCAGUCCGCCUAAAGCCCACCAUCGCCAGCGUCAUACGUUCAUGCGCUCGUGCGCAGCCUAUUCAGACGGGCACCUCGCUCUCAAAACCUAGGCUGAGAGAGGAGGGAGGCCCGCCCUUAUAAGUGCAACACGGCCCCCUUGGCUAGGCGAGGUGGUACUAACCUAGGGCGUGCAUAC